AGUACGAGAGGACCGGGAUGGACAUACCUCUGGUGUACCAGUUUGUCGUGCCAACGGCAUAGCUGGGUAGCUAUGUAUGGACGGGAUAAGUGCUGAAAGCAUCUAAGCAUGAAGCCCCCCUCAAGAUGAGAUUUCCCAACUUCGGUUAUAAGAUCCCUCGAAGAUGACGAGGUUAAUAGGUUCGAGGUGGAAGCGUGGUGACACGUGGAGCUGACGAAUACUAAUCGAUCGAAGACUUAAUCAA
This 244-nucleotide ribosomal RNA is filed under the name Staphylococcus epidermidis NIH04003. RNAcentral's name for it is "partial 23S ribosomal RNA". It matches the Rfam family "Bacterial large subunit ribosomal RNA", at positions 2680 to 2925 of the family's 2925-position model. Lineage: Bacteria; Bacillati; Bacillota; Bacilli; Caryophanales; Staphylococcaceae. The record is from RNAcentral.